CUGGGAAGAUGGGCGAUUAGGUCCUUUGAGAAAUCAUUGGGUCAGGAAAGUCCAGACAGCGCAGAGUAGGGUGGCCAGCGUAAGCUGGCUCGGGUAACCGCAAGUAUAGAGCAACAGAAACGAGUCACAGUCCGCCAGCAGGCGGAUGUGGUGAAUGAAACGGGCAAUCCUCCCCGCUGCAAUCCUAGAACCAACAGUACUGCUCGUACAUUUGUUGAAAUGAGGAGCAUUAGAUAAAUUAUCGCAGGGAAAGCAGACUCAGAUAAAACUUUCCCAACAGAAUCUGGCUUAUACUCUUCCUAGGCGA
RNAcentral lists this RNase P RNA (307 nucleotides) under Candidatus Daviesbacteria bacterium RIFCSPHIGHO2_01_FULL_36_37. RNAcentral's name for it is "RNase P RNA component class A". It matches the Rfam family "Bacterial RNase P class A". From Rfam's summary of the family: Ribonuclease P (RNase P) is a ubiquitous endoribonuclease, found in archaea, bacteria and eukarya as well as chloroplasts and mitochondria. Its best characterised activity is the generation of mature 5'-ends of tRNAs by cleaving the 5'-leader elements of precursor-tRNAs. Lineage: Bacteria; Candidatus Daviesiibacteriota. RNAcentral also lists the same sequence under 2 other names. The record is from RNAcentral.